This 505-nucleotide ribosomal RNA is filed under the name uncultured bacterium. RNAcentral's name for it is "partial 16S ribosomal RNA". It matches the Rfam family "Bacterial small subunit ribosomal RNA", at positions 28 to 507 of the family's 1533-position model. The record is from RNAcentral.
GACGAACGCUGGCGGCGUGCCUAAUACAUGCAAGUAGAACGCACAGUUUAUACCGUAGCUUGCUACACCAUAGACUGUGAGUUGCGAACGGGUGAGUAACGCGUAGGUAACCUGCCUGGUAGCGGGGGAUAACUAUUGGAAACGAUAGCUAAUACCGCAUAAUAUUAAUUAUUGCAUGAUAAUUAAUUGAAAGGUGCAAUUGCACCACUACCAGAUGGACCUGCGUUGUAUUAGCUAGUAGGUGAGGUAACGGCCAACAUAAGCGACGUUACAUAGCCGACCUCAGAGGGUGAGCGGCCACGCUGGGAUGGGGGCACGGCCCAGAAUACUACGAGUGGCACACGUAGGGGAUCUUCGGGAAUGGACGAAAUGCUGACCGAGCAACGCCGCGUGAGUGAAGAAGGUUGUCGGAUCGUAAAGCUCUGGUGUGAGAGAAGAACGGGUAGGAGAGUGGAAAGUUCACAUUGUGACGGUAUCUGACGAGAAAGGGACGGCUAACUACGUG